CUUACUGAACAUAUUUAUAGCUAACUUUGUUACUACUCAGUUAAGCACCGUGUUUUCAAAAUAAGUUUUGUGGUCUGAGCUAACACUUUAGCUUUGUGCUUAAAUUAGAACUACAAAUAAAUGUAAGCUUUAAUGUAAUCGUUCUAGAAGUUCAAAUUUUGGGUUUUUAUUAUUAAAUUAAAUAGCCCUGCUGUGAACUUUAGAUACUGCCAAUAUGUCUGAAUUUUUAAUUGUUUUGUAAGUUAACUUUUCAUUAAACUGGCGUACAGUUCUAAUGCUGAGCUGGUGAAAUAUUAUAUGCCAUGUGUUUAAGUGAUGGUUUCAAUACUUUUGUCUUUUUUUAAAUAUUGGGAAGCAUAACCAGGAAUAUUGUCAAACCUGUUUUUUUUAAUGUGCUCAUCUGUUCAUUUUUUGCCACUUAAUAUGGUGGACAGCAAAUAAGCAGCUUCAACUUGAACUUCCCCCUGAGGGACACAGAUUGCUCCGGAAGCCUAUGGAUUUCCCACUGAAAACAUUUUAAUUUAAUGUUUGGUUAAGACAAUACUUUCAUACAGAACUUAUUAAACUGUAAAACAACUCUUACAAAUUCUUGCAGUUGGCCUUUUUAAUGCUUGACAUUCAGUGCCUUGCGCUACAUCGGCACCAAAAACCAUUUCUCAGGAUUUUGUAGUCUAGAGGUGGCAUUUUAUUUUGGACCGUGUGUGUGUUACUCCUGAUAAAGUGUUUUGAAGUUUUGCCUGAAUUAGAAAACCAUAUUUAAAAAAAAAAAAAAGAAAUCUGGUUUUUGAUAGAGGACACAUUCCUUGCAGACCUAAGAGUUGUACUUAAGUACACUAGUACUUGGAGACAUGUGUACCCCUGUCCUGCUGUACUUGUUAGGAUUAUGAUGCUUUGUUGUAAGUUUCCAGUGCUCUGUGUGUUUGUGUCCUUUUAGUGGCAGGAGCUUGCAAGUGUUGCCUGUUGAGCCUUGUCACUCCUUACUGGAGAAGGACAUGGGGGCAUCCAGGAAGUGUACAAGUGAAGCCCGAGAUGACAUGAAGCUCCAGAACCAAUCUAAGGGGAUCAGGCUAAAUGAAUACAUGGACCCCCACGGUUAACAUAGCUGGAUCAGUAUUUACUUUUCUCCUUUCAGGUAAGAAGUUAUUAGAAAUAGGGUAGAAAACCCACAUGGCCAGAUUUCUUCCUCCCUCUUUGAUUGCAGGUCAAAUUACAUUCUUUGUAAACAGUUAAUUUUAUAUUUAAG
This 1243-nucleotide long non-coding RNA is filed under the name Scleropages formosus (Asian bonytongue). RNAcentral describes it as "lncRNA (ENSSFOG00015027234.1)". The record is from RNAcentral. Lineage: Eukaryota; Metazoa; Chordata; Actinopteri; Osteoglossiformes; Osteoglossidae.